This is a long non-coding RNA of Oreochromis niloticus (Nile tilapia), 1034 nucleotides long. RefSeq lists it as uncharacterized. The transcript is spliced from 5 exons. NCBI's taxonomy places the organism in Eukaryota, Metazoa, Chordata, Actinopteri, Cichliformes, Cichlidae. The record is from RefSeq and is a predicted model, not a curated record.
GUAAAUGUUUCUUCUCCAAUUGGAUGAUGAUAAGACUGUGACACGGGAUGCCACCUUUAGUCUUGUGAUGAAGCAAAGCUCAGGAAGAAGUGUGAUUAAAUGGUACCCACAUGUGUGCUGCUGAGAAGGAUGUACAGGGGCACCUGCAGCCAAAUCCAAGCCUCCUCAGCAGCUUCAGGUCUGUCAGCGUGCUGAGGUCACAGAAACAAGAAAAGCAGCUUCAGACUUCAGAGUGUUGUUUACAGUUUUCUGUCAUCAUGAUCUCCCCUGAAGUUUAUCACUAUUAUACAAGCAAGCAGAGCAGCAGUUUGUGCUCACAGAUGGUGACGGUGUGGAGAGACGGUGGUGUUUCCUCAGAAGAACUAGCAGAGUCACAAAGGACAUGAGUCCAUCUCACCACCUUGACUUGUUGAUCAGUGGAUACACUUGUCUCCCCUUUAAAGGAGACACUCUUAGAGAGAGACGAUCCGAGUCAUCCUUAAAUAUGGGCAGGAUAUCACUAUUGGACUGUCUAACCUGCCGGAGCAGCACUGAAUGACCACCACACAUGAUCAGUUCCUGCAACAUUCAGCAGCUCUGCUUUUGUGUCAAAUGUCCAACAGCUGGAGAGGAAACCCUGAGACCAUGAACGCCACUUCGCUGAAGUCUUCUUCUUCUUCUUCUCCUUCUUCUUCUUCUUGCCAUCAGAAUGGAAGCAGACAGAGCACGAGCUGCUUUGAUCUACUGAAAGGAAAAAGCAGAACAUCUGAGCUGAAACCAUUAAGAUAGAAACAAUCGUUCAAUGCAGUCUCUCACGUAGCUUAGCCUGUUACAACUGUUGAUACAAGCUCAGUACAGUUAACACAGUGUCGGGGAACUCCAGUGUGGGAACUAGUGGCUUUAGGUUUGGACAGCGAUGGAGAGCAGGUGUGCCGAGAAUGGCCUAGCCCGGAGGGCGUGGCUAUCCGCACAUUCCACAGACACGGACCACGGACCAUGACAGAUAGACUGCAGGUCAUAACUUCUUACCUGAAGUUCAGUUCACCUGACGCUCC